CCUACGGGGGGCAGCAGUGAGGAAUAUUGGUCAAUGGGCGGAAGCCUGUACCAGCCAAGUAGCGUGCAGGAUGACGGCCCUACGGGUUGUAAACUGCUUUUAUACGGGAAUAACGCGCCUUACGUGUAGGGCUUUGCAUGUACCGUAUGAAUAAGGACCGGCUAAUUCCGUGCCAGCAGCCGCGGUAAUACGGAAGGUCCGGGCGUUAUCCGGAUUUAUUGGGUUUAAAGGGAGCGUAGGCCGCAUGUCAAGCGUGCUGUGAAAUGUCCGGGCUCAACCCGGGCCUUGCAGCGCGAACUGGCGUGCUUGAGUCCGCGGAAAGCAGGCGGAAUUCGUCGUGUAGCGGUGAAAUGCUUAGAUAUGACGAAGAACCCCGAUUGCGAAGGCAGCUUGCUGCAGCGGAACUGACGCUGAUGCUCGAAAGCGCGGGUAUCGAACAGGAUUAGAUACCCGAGUAGUC
RNAcentral lists this ribosomal RNA (460 nucleotides) under uncultured bacterium. Its description in RNAcentral is "partial 16S ribosomal RNA". It matches the Rfam family "Bacterial small subunit ribosomal RNA", at positions 338 to 795 of the family's 1533-position model. The record is from RNAcentral.